Molecule: unclassified non-coding RNA, 1071 nt
Filed under: uncultured Mucorales
Lineage: Eukaryota; Fungi; Mucoromycota; Mucoromycetes; Mucorales
Description: sequence contains 5.8S rRNA gene, ITS2, 28S rRNA gene
Rfam family: Eukaryotic large subunit ribosomal RNA (bases 333-1071)
Source: RNAcentral
AACUUUUAACAAUGGAUCUCUUGGUUCUCGCAUCGAUGAAGAACGUAGCAAAGUGCGAUAACUAGUGUGAAUUGCAUAUUCAGUGAAUCAUCGAGUCUUUGAACGCAACUUGCACUCAUUGGUAUUCCAAUGAGUACGCCUGUUUCAGUAUCAAAAACAACCCACAUUCAAACUUUUUUGUUAGAAUGGAGCUUGAGAGUAUCUCUCGCAGGACACUCUUAAAAUGGACUAAGGCCUGAAUUUGUUUAAGCCUAAGCUUUUUUUUAAUAUAAAGAAAAGUUUAUGGAUCUAAACUUUGUUUGGGGCCUCCCAAAGAAAACAAUUUUAAAUCUUGAUCUGAAAUCAGGUGGGAUUACCCGCUGAACUUAAGCAUAUCAAUAAGCGGAGGAAAAGAAAAUAACAAUGAUUUCCCUAGUAACGGCGAGUGAAGAGGAAAGAGCUCAAAGUUGGAACCUGUUUGGCUUAGCUAAACCGGAUUGUAAACUGUAGAAACGUUUUCCUGGCACGCCAGAUAAAUAAGUCCUUUGGAACAGGGCAUCAUAGAGGGUGAGAAUCCCGUCUUUGGUCUGAGCUGUUGUCUUUUGUGAUACGUUUUCAAAGAGUCAGGUUGUUUGGGAAUGCAGCCUAAAUUGGGUGGUAAAUCUCACCUAAAGCUAAAUAUUUGCGAGAGACCGAUAGCGAACAAGUACCGUGAGGGAAAGAUGAAAAGAACUUUGAAAAGAGAGUUAAACAGUAUGUGAAAUUGUUAAAAGGGAACCGUUUGGAGCCAGACUGGCUUUGUCGUGAUCAAUCUGGGUUUCGACCUUGAUGCACUGACGACAGACGCCUGCCAUCGACAGUUUUGUUUGGAGGAAAAAACUAUAGGUAAUGUGGCCUUUCGGGGUGUUAUAGACCUGUAGAAAAUACUCCGGAUGGGACUGAGGAACGCAGUGGAUGCCUUUGGCGAAAUUGCUAGGCGCUUUUGUUGAUACAUGCUGGAAUUUCUGCUUCGGGUGGUGCCAGUGUCUAAAGAUAAAACUCGCUUGGUAUAUUUUCUAUCCACUUAGGUUGAUGGCUUAAUGACUCUAAAUG